CGCGGAAGAUGUAACGGGGCUAAACCAUGCACCGAAGCUGCGGCAGCGACACUGUGUGUUGUUGGGUAGGGGAGCGUUCUGUAAGCCUGUGAAGGUGUGUCGUGAGGCAUGCUGGAGGUAUCAGAAGUGCGAAUGCUGACAUAAGUAACGAUAAAGCGGGUGAAAAGCCCGCUCGCCGGAAGACCAAGGGUUCCUGUCCAACGUUAAUCGGGGCAGGGUGAGUCGACCCCUAAGGCGAGGCCGAAAGGCGUAGUCGAUGGGAAACGGGUUAAUAUUCCCGUACUUGGUGUUACUGCGAAGGGGGGACGGAGAAGGCUAUGUUGGCCGGGCGACGGUUGUCCCGGUUUAAGUGUGUAGGUGUGUGUUCCAGGUAAAUCCGGUUCACUUUAACACUGAGGCGUGACGACGAGGCACUACGGUGCUGAAGCAACAAAUGCCCUGCUUCCAGGAAAAGCCUCUAAGCAUCAGGUAACAUCAAAUCGUACCCCAAACCGACACAGGUGGUCAGGUAGAGAAUACCAAGGCGCUUGAGAGAACUCGGGUGAAGGAACUAGGCAAAAUGGUGCCGUAACUUCGGGAGAAGGCACGCUGACACGUAGGUGAAGUGAUUUACUCAUGGAGCUGAAGUCAGUCGAAGAUACCAGCUGGCUGCAACUGUUUAUUAAAAACACAGCACUGUGCAAACACGAAAGUGGACGUAUACGGUGUGACGCCUGCCCGGUGCCGGAAGGUUAAUUGAUGGGGUCAGCGCAAGCGAAGCUCCUGAUCGAAGCCCCGGUAAACGGCGGCCGUAACUAUAACGGUCCUAAGGUAGCGAAAUUCCUUGUCGGGUAAGUUCCGACCUGCACGAAUGGCGUAAUGAUGGCCAGGCUGUCUCCACCCGAGACUCAGUGAAAUUGAACUCGCUGUGAAGAUGCAGUGUACCCGCGGCAAGACGGAAAGACCCCGUGAACCUUUACUAUAGCUUGACACUGAACAUUGAGCCUUGAUGUGUAGGAUAGGUGGGAGGCUUUGAAGUGUGGACGCCAGUCUGCAUGGAGCCGACCUUGAAAUACCACCCUUUAAUGUUUGAUGUUCUAACGUGGACCCGUUACCCGGGUUGCGGACAGUGUCUGGUGGGUAGUUUGACUGGGGCGGUCUCCUCCUAAAGAGUAACGGAGGAGCACGAAGGUUGGCUAAUCCUGGUCGGACAUCAGGAGGUUAGUGCAAUGGCAUAAGCCAGCUUGACUGCGAGCGUGACGGCGCGAGCAGGUGCGAAAGCAGGUCAUAGUGAUCCGGUGGUUCUGAAUGGAAGGGCCAUCGCUCAACGGAUAAAAGGUACUCCGGGGAUAACAGGCUGAUACCGCCCAAGAGUUCAUAUCGACGGCGGUGUUUGGCACCUCGAUGUCGGCUCAUCACAUCCUGGGGCUGAAGUAGGUCCCAAGGGUAUGGCUGUUCGCCAUUUAAAGUGGUACGCGAGCUGGGUUUAGAACGUCGUGAGACAGUUCGGUCCCUAUCUGCCGUGGGCGCUGGAGAACUGAGGGGGGCUGCUCCUAGUACGAGAGGACCGGAGUGGACGCAUCACUGGUGUUCGGGUUGUCAUGCCAAUGGCACUGCCCGGUAGCUAAAUGCGGAAGAGAUAAGUGCUGAAAGCAUCUAAGCACGAAACUUGCCCCGA
This 1657-nucleotide ribosomal RNA is filed under the name Salmonella enterica subsp. enterica serovar Enteritidis. RNAcentral describes it as "partial 23S ribosomal RNA". It matches the Rfam family "Bacterial large subunit ribosomal RNA", at positions 1162 to 2802 of the family's 2925-position model. Lineage: Bacteria; Pseudomonadati; Pseudomonadota; Gammaproteobacteria; Enterobacterales; Enterobacteriaceae. The record is from RNAcentral.